This 253-nucleotide ribosomal RNA is filed under the name uncultured bacterium. RNAcentral's name for it is "partial 16S ribosomal RNA". It matches the Rfam family "Bacterial small subunit ribosomal RNA", at positions 524 to 776 of the family's 1533-position model. The record is from RNAcentral.
GACAGAGGAUGCAAGCGUUAUCCGGAAUGAUUGGGCGUAAAGCGUCUGUAGGUGGCUUUUUAAGUCUGCCGUCAAAUCCCAGGGCUCAACCCUGGACAGGCGGUGGAAACUACCAAGCUGGAGUACGGUAGGGGCAGAGGGAAUUUCCGGUGGAGCGGUGAAAUGCGCAGAUAUCAGGAGGAACACCGGUGGCGAAGGCGGGUCUCUGGGCCGAUACUGACGCUGAGGAGCGAAAGCGUGGGGAGCGAACAGG